Molecule: ribosomal RNA, 253 nt
Filed under: uncultured bacterium
Lineage: Bacteria
Description: partial 16S ribosomal RNA
Rfam family: Bacterial small subunit ribosomal RNA
Source: RNAcentral
UACGAAGGGGGCUAGCGUUGCUCGGAAUUACUGGGCGUAAAGGGAGCGUAGGCGGACAUUUAAGUCAGGGGUGAAAUCCCAGAGCUCAACUCUGGAACUGCCUUUGAUACUGGAUGUCUUGGGUGUGAGAGAGGUAUGUGGAACUCCGAGUGUAGAGGUGAAAUUCGUAGAUAUUCGGAAGAACACCAGUGGCGAAGGCGACAUACUGGCUCAUUACUGACGCUGAGGCUCGAAAGCGUGGGGAGCAAACAGG